This 432-nucleotide ribosomal RNA is filed under the name uncultured bacterium. RNAcentral describes it as "partial 16S ribosomal RNA". It matches the Rfam family "Bacterial small subunit ribosomal RNA", at positions 29 to 506 of the family's 1533-position model. The record is from RNAcentral.
AACGAACGCUGGCGGCAUGCCUAACACAUGCAAGUCGAACGAGACCUUCGGGUCUAGUGGCGCACGGGUGCGUAACGCGUGGGAACCUGCCUUUAGGUUCGGAAUAACUCAGAGAAAUUUGAGCUAAUACCGGAUGAUGUCUUCGGACCAAAGAUUUAUCGCCUUUAGAUGGGCCCGCGUUGGAUUAGCUAGUUGGUGGGGUAAAGGCCUACCAAGGCGACGAUCCAUAGCUGGUCUGAGAGGAUGAUCAGCCACACUGGGACUGAGACACGGCCCAGACUCCUACGGGAGGCAGCAGGGGGGAAUAUGGGACAAUGGGCGAAAGCCUGAUCCAGCAAUGCCGCGUGAGUGAUGAAGGCCUUAGGGUUGUAAAGCUCUUUUACCCGAGAUGAUAAUGACAGUAUCGGGAGAAUAAGCUCCGGCUAACUCCGU